This 590-nucleotide long non-coding RNA is filed under the name Hordeum vulgare. RNAcentral describes it as "long non-coding RNA (HVUL_LNC012587)". The record is from RNAcentral. Lineage: Eukaryota; Viridiplantae; Streptophyta; Magnoliopsida; Poales; Poaceae.
AAUUCAUCGGAUCCCAACAAAUGCACCGCACAAAAGGAAUUACAUCAUAUAGAUCAGAGAAAAUAUGCGAUGAUCAUUGUAUUGAAGAUCAAAGAGAGAGGGUUGCCAUCUAGGUACUGUCAUGGACCCGUAGGUCUAUGGUGACCUACUCACACAUCAUUGUGAGGGCAGCAAGGUUGAUGAAUAGACCCCCCUGUGAUCGAUCCCCCUCCUGCAGGGCGCCGGAAUGGAGCUCCAGAUGGCCUCUCGUCGAAAUAGAGACUUACAGAGGCGUAAAAAGUGUUUCGGGACUCCCUCUGCUGUUUUUAGGGUAGAUGAGAAUAUAUCAUCUGAAGAAUGGAGUCGAGAGGGACACGGCGGGGGCACAAGCUAUCAGGGUGCUCCCCAGGCUGCACCAUGUUAGCUUUGUGGGCCCCUUGUGAGACCUCCAACCUUCUUCCGAUGCUUGUGGAUCUUCUUUUGGUCCAGAAAAAAUCAUCAAAAAGUUUCACGACAAUUGGACCUCGAUUCGUAUGGAAAACCUGCAAAGUGAAAAACACGCAGAAAACGGCAACUGGCACUAGGCACUAGGUCAAUAGGUUAGUGCUCAA